RNAcentral lists this ribosomal RNA (1470 nucleotides) under uncultured Bordetella sp. RNAcentral's name for it is "partial 16S-23S ribosomal RNA intergenic spacer". It matches the Rfam family "Bacterial small subunit ribosomal RNA". The record is from RNAcentral. Lineage: Bacteria; Pseudomonadati; Pseudomonadota; Betaproteobacteria; Burkholderiales; Alcaligenaceae.
CCAUCAGGUAGUAACAGAGGGUUCGAUUAUGGCUCAGAUUGAAGCUGGCGGGAUGCUUUACACAUGCAAGUCGAACGGCAGCACGGACUUCGGUCUGGUGGCGAGUGGCGAACGGGUGAGUAAUGUACUGGAACGUGCCUAGUAGCGGAUAACUACGCGAAAGCGUAGCUAAUACCGCAUAAUACCUUCGGGGAAAGGACCUUCGGGCCUCGCACCAUUAGAGCGGCCGAUAAUGGAUUAGCUAGUUGGUGGGUAACGGCUCACCAAGGCGACGAUCCGUAGCUGGGUCCGAGAGGACGACCAGCCACACUGGGAUUCGAGAUACGGCCCAGACUCUACGGGAGGCAGCAGUGGGGAAUUUUAACAAUGGGGAAACCCCGAUCCAGCCAUCCCGCGUGUGCGAUGAAGGCCUUCACAAAGCACUUCGGCAGGAAAAGGAACGGCACGGAUAAUACCCCGUGCAACUGACGGUACCUGCAGAAUAAGCACCGGCUAACUACGUGCCAGCAGCCGCGGUAAUACGUAGUGCAAGCGUUAAUCGGAAUUACUGGGCGUAAAGCGUGCGCAGGCGGUUCGAAAAGAAAGAUGUGAACUGCAGAGCUUAACUUUGAACCGCAUUUUUAACUGUCGAGCCAGAGUGUCAGAGGCAGUGGAAUUCCGCGCAGGGCAGUGAAAUGCGUAGAUAUGCGGAGGAACACCGAUGGCGAAGGCAGCCUCCUGGGAGAUAACACUGACGCUCAUGCACGAAAGCGUGGGGAGCAAACAGGAUUAGAUACCCUGGUAGUCCACGCCCUAAACGAUGUCAACUAGCUGUUGGGGCCUUGCAGCAGCUAACGCGCAGCUGGACCGCCUGGGGAGUACGGUCGCAAGAUUAAAACUCAAAGGAAUUGAUUUGGGACCCGCACAAGCGGUGGAUGAGCGGACACCAUGCAACGCGAAAACUCUACCUACCUUGAUGAUGCCCAAUCCUGAAGAGAUUUGGGGAGUGCUCGCAAGAGAACCGAAACACAGGUGCUGCAUGGCUGUCGUCAGCUCGUGUCGUGAGAUGUUGGGUUAAGUCCCGCAACGAGCGCAACCCUUGUCAUUAGUUGCUACGAAAGGGCACUCUAAUGAGACUGCCGGUGACAAACUUCGGAGGAAGGUGGGGAUGACGUCAAGUCCCUCAUGGCCCUUAUGGGUAGGGCUUCACACGUCAUACAAUGGUCGGGACAGAGUAGUCGCCAACCCGCGAGGGGGACAGCAAUCCCAGAAACCCGAUCGUAGGUCCGGAUCGCAGUCUGCAACUCGACUGCGUGAAGUCGGAAUCGCUAGUAAUCGCGGAUCAGCAUGUCGCGGUGAAUACGUUCCCGGGUCUUGUACACACCGCCCGUCACACCAUGGGAGUGGUUUUACCAGUGCAGUUAGCCUAACCGUAAGGAGGGCGAUUACCACGGUAGGAUUCAUGAUCGGGGUGAAGUCGUAACAAGGUAG